Molecule: long non-coding RNA, 3476 nt
Organism: Cyprinus carpio carpio
Lineage: Eukaryota; Metazoa; Chordata; Actinopteri; Cypriniformes; Cyprinidae
Source: Ensembl
CCCAAACGGGUUUCAACAAACUCACCUACAACUGCAACUCUGCUUACAACUAGAGCCCCUCCUACAGAAACAACACAACUUACAUCUACGGCUGAACCAACAACCACAACUGCGUCAACAUCUACAACUGAAAAAUCAACUAUACCCGAACAAAGCACCACAACACAGACAGCAACAACAUCCCUACAUACAACAAGUACAGCUCAAUCUACAACCCUGAUUUCAACAAACUCAGCUACACCUACAUCUCGGGUUACAAUUACAGCCCCUCCUACAGAAACAACAACAACACAACUUACAUCUACAGCUGAACCAACAACCAUAACUGUUUUAACAUCUACGGCUGAACCAACAACCACAACUGUUUUAACAUCUACAACAAAACAAUCAAUUACAUCCCAACACAGCACCACAACACAGACAGCAACAACAUACCUACCUACAACAAGUACAGCUCAAUCUACAACCCUGGUUACAACAAACAUGACUGUUACAUCAAGCUCAGCUACACAAACGACACAAUUCUGCUUAAAAGUGACACAACAGCUGAUACAAUACUGCUCAGCAACAACUGAAACUCUGUCUACAACCACUGCCAAACCUACACAAAAACCUGACUCAACAAACUCACCUGCAUCUGCAACAACAGAAUCUAUGACUGUUACAGUAAACUCAGUCCCUUCCACAGAAACAACAACAACAACAACACAACUUACAUCUACGGCUGAACCAACAACUACAACCAGAGCUCAAUCAACAACAACCCCAGGCACAACCCAGACAGUUUUUGUUAGUUUUUCCAGCAGUGAAAUUUUUGUCUCUGAUCUGUCAAAUCCAGCUUCAGAAGCAUAUAAAAACAGAGAAAAGAAUGUCAACGAUACGUUGACACCAUUCUUUAGAAAUGCAUUGCCCUCCUUCAAAGGACUGGCAGUUAUUCAGUUCCGUAAUGGGUCAAUCAUCACUGAUAUGAAUGUGACAUUUGGAACCUUACCCAGUGAUGUUGAGAUAGAAAACACUAUUAUGAAAGCUAAUGCCACUCUCAGUAUCACCAGUGUAACAAUAUGGAAGCCCUUCACCACAACUACCAAAGCCACUACAACCAGUUCCACUACAAUUACAACUACAACCACACCUAACACAACAACAGCAGCAGCAACAACAACAACCACAACAUCUACUGCCAAUCCUAAUACAACAGCAUCACCAGCAACCACAACAUCUACUGUCAAUCCUAAUACAACAGCAUCACUAGCAACCACAACAUCUACUGCCAAUCCUAUUACAACACAACAACAACAACCACCACCACAACAUCUAAUGUCAAUCCGAAUACAACAGCAUCAACAGCAACCACAACAUCUACUGUCAAUCCUAAUACAACAGCAUCAACAGCAACCACAACAUCUACUGUCAAUCCUAUUACAAUAGCAACAACAACCACAACAUCUACUGUCAAUCCUAAUACAACAGCAUCAACAGCAACCACAACAUCUACUGCCAAUCCUAUUACAACAACAGCAACAGCAACAACAACAACCACAACAUCUAUUGUCAAUCCUAAUACAACAGCAUCACCAGCAACCACAACAUCUACUGCCAAUCUUAAUACAACAGCAUCAACAGCAACCACAACAUCUACUGUCAAUCCUAAUACAACAGCAUCACCAACAACCACAACAUCUACUGCCAAUCCUAAUACAACAGCAUCAACAACAACCACAACAUCUAUUGUCAAUCCUAUUACAACAGCAACAACAACAACCACAGCAUCUACUGCCAAUCCUAAUACAACAGUAUCAUCAACAACAGCAACCACAACAUCUACUGCCAAGCCUAAUACAACAGCAUCAACAGCAACCACAACAUCUACUGUCAAUCCUAAUACAACAGCACCAACAGCAACCACAACAACAACCACAACAUCUACUGCCAAACCUAAUACAACUGUAACAACAACACCCACAACCACAACAACAACAACAACAACAACAAAAACAACAACAACAACAACAACAUCUACUGCCAAUCCUAAAACAACAGCAACAACAACCACAAUAACAACAGCAGCAACCACAACAGCAGCACCAGCACGUCCUCAGCCAACUGUUGCCAUACAGAUUGUCAUUAUAGAGGUGUUUGUUCCAGCACUGAAAGACCCUCAAACUCCGGAAUUUAAAAGCCUAGCCACAAAAGUAGAGACUAUGUUUGAUGAAGUCUAUAAGAAAAAGUUUGGACCUCGUUUCAUCAGGACCAUCGUGAUUGCUUUCAUAGCUGUUGCCAGGACCCGGGCAGACUCAAACGUACAGGCGGAGGUUAAGUUAGUGUUUAGUGAAGUGUCCACUGAACCAAUCCCCAGCAACACCGACAUUGUGGAGACUCUAAAAGAAGCAGCUGCUAAUUCAACUGGAGGCUUCAACCUCACCCUUGAUGCCACCUCUAUUACUGUCAUUAAAUCAGUGCAGAUAAUUCCGCUGACCAUCCUCACCAAUGGAACCUUUGUGGCUGCUCUUUCAAAUAAAAGUUCUACUGAAUUUCAGAACAGGGCUUCGAUGAUAAAAACAGGGCUCGAACCUUUUUUCCUGACUGAUUACCCUGCAUCAUUCAGCACCAUAUCCGUAACAAACUUCAGUGAUGCCAGUGUAAAAUUAAAGAGUGUGCCCAAGAUCCAAAACAGCAUGGAUGUAGUAUUUGGAGCGGACGCUGCUCUACCCAAUAGCACCCAGAUAGUGAACACUGUAGUUCGAGCAGCCAGAAACAACACAUUACCCUUCCAGAUCUUCACUUCUUCAAUUAUAAUAAAUGGAACAGAAUAUUCAUCAGGUGAAGUCAGCAGCAGGAUCAGUGUGUUGACCACUUCGUUCCUGGUUAUGGUGUCACUUCUGGUUCCAUGGUUUAACUGACCUUAACCACUCAUGACAAGAUAACUGAUUCAGCCACUCUGAAUCUUGCCUUUUAUGUCUGUUCAAAUGAAGGACUCAACUUAAGGAUGAAUGUAGCUAGUGAUGCUAUUUAAUGAGUAGGAAUGAAAGUAAAAAUGUAAAUAAUCCUAUUCUCAGCACUUUAAACUAGAUCAAAGCAAUAAUGGAUUCCAAAUCAGUUCUGGAUCUGUAUGUAAACAAUCAGUAUUGUAUAAAGCACUAUAUAAAUAAAGGCAAAUAUAAAUGUAUAUAAAUGUACCUGCAUGUUUUCAUAGAUUUACUUCAGAACCCAUCAUUGUGCACCAUAGACAGAAAAAUAACUACUGUGCAUAUUUAAAAUAAACCCUAUUGACACUCAGACUUCCAGUUUUGCCACCUCCGAAAUGACCAUGUUGUGAAGCAGGUAUUUGAUGGCAGACUCAAAAUGUAAAGGCUGAACCAAUAAAAAUAUGUUGGCUAAAAUACUAGCGCAGAUGAAGGCCAUGAGCAUAUAUGCUGCUGGUAAGCUAGAGAGAAUAGAAGUAUUGGUAAAAGACAUUAAGGAAGUGGUUAAAAGCC